CCAGAAGUUCCAGCUCAACGUGAGAAAGAACUUCUUUACGUUGAGGAUGGCAGAGCGCUGGGACAGGCUGCCCGAGAAGGGCAUGGAGUCUCUCUGGAGACAUUCCAAACCCAACUGGACAUGUUCCUGUGUCACCUGCUCCAGGUCUGAUAAAGCAAUACAAGAAGGCAAGGAAGAGAAGCAGCAAGUUAAAGAAGACCUGUAGGGAGAAGCAGGUGACCCAGGAGACUGGAUAAAGAGAUUUUUGUGACUAGAAGACUGCUCCAGAUCUUUGCCUGAAAGCCCAGUGUCCUGGUUUGAGGGGAAAUGAGUUUUUUCAGGAAGCUGAGGUCAAACCAAUCAGUGGUCAGGUUUGAAUGUUGACACCUUCGGUGAAAGACUCCUCUCUCCCUGGAUGGAUUGAAGAUUGUUUUUUUAAGGGAUGAUACCUUGGAUUGGGAACCCAGGGUUGUGGAAGGUUUAAGCAAUUAGAUGAGGGUAAUGUGCUAGUGUUAACUGUUAGAGCAUGCAAGGGAUGGAAAUUGGGGGGAGGAGAAGAAGUGUUCUGGGAGGUUUUCUUUUCUGCUUUUGGGUGUUUGCGUUUUCUUUUCUUGUCUAUUGUCUGUUGUUAUAUAGGUUAAUAAAAUUUUCUUUCUCUUUCAAGUUUUAGGCCUGCUCUGCUCUGUUCAUGACCACAUCUCACAGUAGUUCAUUAGGAAAAAUAUACACUGGGUGCACUGGCAUUUGGCCAGCUUCAACCCAUGACACCCUGUAAUUUCAAAGCUAUAAUAAUUUGGAGGGAAGGGGGUCGUAUUUUCCAUUCCAAGGGAGGUUCUCACCUUCCUUGGCAGACACCUGUCUUUUAAACCAAGACAGGGA
Long non-coding RNA from Prinia subflava (tawny-flanked prinia), 858 nucleotides. RefSeq lists it as uncharacterized. Lineage: Eukaryota; Metazoa; Chordata; Aves; Passeriformes; Cisticolidae. The transcript has 3 exons. The record is from RefSeq and is a predicted model, not a curated record.